UGGGGAGCCCCGGAAAAGCAGCAGCACUUCUCUUUCUCUUUAAUGGAACCUAGCAAUCAAUUCUUAGCAGCUCACGGAGAAGCAAUUUGAAACACUAAGCAGUUUCCUCUCCUUCUGCCCCCCAGUUCUGAAAUCAUGAACUGAUGGCUUUAUCUGCGUGCUUUAGGCAUAGUGGGUAAGAAGGACAGUUCGUCACUUAAAUAUGUGAAUGCUUCUCCCGGUCUUCUAGAUUUAUCAUUCUGAUACAAGAUUAUUUUGCUUUUAGGGUACUUACCAAAGCCUUUUCUCUCAGACUCCCUGUCGGAGCUGAUUUUUCAGCCUGAGGCACUCUGACUCCCCUUCCCCUUUCCCUACUCACCAGCUGCUGAAAGAUUUCAUGAAAUUGCCUUUAAAUGAACCUGUGCCUGGACUUCUUUCAAAGCAGCCGGGUGAUUCCUGAGGUCCCUUCCAACAUGAGCUUUUCUGUGGUCCCAGGAUUUUAUGAGGUGUCUUUAGGGUGCCCCACCAUCCCCCAGAGGCUGGAAAUUUACCAUUAAAAACAUGCUAGGAGAGCUUUUUCCCAUUAUUUUGACUCUGGGAGCUGGGAAUUAACAAGAGCUCCAACAUCCCAGUGCUGGGUGCUCGGUGCAGCAGCCCAAGGCCAGGGCUGGUGCAUGUACGGGCCCUUGUGCACUGUGUGUCCCCAUAUCCCAAAUGUGCCCUACGGACAAGGGCUAACCCUGCCUGUGCCACUGCCAAACCAGUCUUUCUGACCAUGUUUCUCUUAUUCAUAGGGCAAACGCCAGUCUCACAGGAGGAGGAAAAAAUUGCCUGGAGAUUUGACUGCUGAGCCUGACGAAAAUCUCCUUUUUUCCAUGCCUAUAAAAGAAGGCUAAUCCGCCAACUGAAAGCCAAGUCCUUUGCCCUUCCCGGUGCUGAGCCGUGACGCAGAGAAAAAUACUCUGCCAGCAGUAAUCGCGUCGCAACUGUUGCCUGCGGCCUGCUUUACGCUGGAUGGGAAGUCAGCAAGUGAUAUGUUUCCAAAUGACCCCCGUCAGUG
Oxyura jamaicensis (ruddy duck) is the source of this 1039-nucleotide long non-coding RNA. RefSeq lists it as uncharacterized. Lineage: Eukaryota; Metazoa; Chordata; Aves; Anseriformes; Anatidae. The record is from RefSeq and is a predicted model, not a curated record. The transcript is spliced from 2 exons.